AAAUCAAUUGAAUUAAAUUCUUACUAAUUUCUUGUUUCCAAACAGACUGUUAAAGAAAAAUUCAUUCACUGGAGUAAUUCCUAAUGUUUUUCCCUGAACGGGUUGAAAUUGAGGCUGUAUAGCCGAUUCCAACUAGUUGAUUUGAGGAACCUGACGAGGGUAGACACUCUGAAUAAUAGGAAUAGGCUAUUAACAUGAUGGCUACGUUUUUCUUUUUUCCCUUUGCAAGUCUUCUUGUAGAUCAAAUAGAAUAGAUCAAAG
Molecule: unclassified non-coding RNA, 261 nt
Filed under: Hevea brasiliensis (rubber tree)
Lineage: Eukaryota; Viridiplantae; Streptophyta; Magnoliopsida; Malpighiales; Euphorbiaceae
Source: RNAcentral